GAUCAUGGCUCAGGAUGAACGCUAGCGACAGGCUAACACAUGCAAGUCGAGGGCAUCACGGGAGUAGCAAUACAACUGGUGGCGACCGGCGCACGGGUGAGUAACGCGUAUGCAACCUACCUAUCAGAGGGGAAUAACCCGGCGAAAGUCGGACUAAUACCGCAUAAAACAGGGGCACCGCAUGGUGAUAUUUGUUAAAGAAAUUCGCUGAUAGAUGGGCAUGCGUUCCAUUAGGUAGUUGGUGAGGUAACGGCUCACCAAGCCGACGAUGGAUAGGGAACUGAGAGGUUGGUCCCCCACACUGGUACUGAGACACGGACCAGACUCCUACGGGAGGCAGCAGUGAGGAAUAUUGGUCAAUGGGCGGGAGCCUGAACCAGCCAAGUCGCGUGAAGGAAGAAGGAUCUAUGGUUCGUAAACUUCUUUUGCAGGGGAAUAAAGUGCAGGACGUGUCCUGUUUUGUAUGUACCCUGAGAAUAAGGAUCGGCUAACUCCGUGCCAGCCGCCGC
Molecule: ribosomal RNA, 509 nt
Filed under: uncultured bacterium
Lineage: Bacteria
Description: bacterial SSU rRNA
Rfam family: Bacterial small subunit ribosomal RNA
Source: RNAcentral